UACAUAGGGGGCAAGCGUUAUCCGGAUUUACUGGGUGUAAAGGGGGCGCAGACGGCAGCGCAAGCCAGGAGUGAAAGCCCGGGGCCCAACCCCGGGACUGCUCUUGGAACUGCGCGGCUGGAGUGCAGGAGGGGCAGGCGGAAUUCCUGGUGUAGCGGUGAAAUGCGUAGAUAUCAGGAGGAACACCGGUGGCGAAGGCGGCCUGCUGGACUGCGACUGACGUUGAGGCCCGAAAGCGUGGGGAGCAAACAGG
Molecule: ribosomal RNA, 253 nt
Filed under: uncultured bacterium
Lineage: Bacteria
Description: partial 16S ribosomal RNA
Rfam family: Bacterial small subunit ribosomal RNA
Source: RNAcentral